CAACCCUUAAGCCCCUGUUGCUUAGCGUUGGGAGCCUACGGCACCGUAGCUCCCCAAAGUCAGUGGCGGAGUCGGCUCACACUCUAGACGUAGUAAUUUUCACCUCGCCUAUAGUUAGACCGGUCCCUUGCCGUAAACCCCCCUAAUUUUUAAAA
This 155-nucleotide unclassified non-coding RNA is filed under the name uncultured Xylariaceae. RNAcentral describes it as "sequence contains ITS2". The record is from RNAcentral. Lineage: Eukaryota; Fungi; Ascomycota; Sordariomycetes; Xylariales; Xylariaceae.